AACGAACGCUAGCGGCGUGCCUAACACAUGCAAGUCGUACGAGAAAUCCCGGGCAACUGGGAGAGUAAAGUGGCGCACGGGUGAGUAACGCGUGGGUAAUCUACCUUGGAGUUCGGAAUAACACCUCGAAAGGGGUGCUAAUACCGGAUAUCGUCCCAGGGGUUUCGACUCCGGGGAUGAAAGAUGGCUGAGGCUUGCAAGCUAUUGCUCCAAGAUGAGCCCGCGUACCAUUAGCUAGUUGGUGGGGUAACGGCCCACCAAGGCAAUGAUGGUUAGCUGGUCUGAGAGGAUGACCAGCCACACUGGAACUGAGAUACGGUCCAGACUCCUACGGGAGGCAG
This 341-nucleotide ribosomal RNA is filed under the name uncultured Chloroflexota bacterium. RNAcentral describes it as "bacterial SSU rRNA". It matches the Rfam family "Bacterial small subunit ribosomal RNA", at positions 29 to 351 of the family's 1533-position model. The record is from RNAcentral. Lineage: Bacteria; Bacillati; Chloroflexota.